RNAcentral lists this ribosomal RNA (120 nucleotides) under Spirochaetaceae bacterium. RNAcentral's name for it is "partial 16S ribosomal RNA". It matches the Rfam family "Bacterial small subunit ribosomal RNA", at positions 1 to 121 of the family's 1533-position model. Lineage: Bacteria; Pseudomonadati; Spirochaetota; Spirochaetia; Spirochaetales; Spirochaetaceae. The record is from RNAcentral.
AUCAUGGAGAGUUUGAUCCUGGCUCAGAACGAACGCUGGCGGCGCGUCUUAAGCAUGCAAGUCGGGCGGCAAGGGGGAGCAAUCCCCCCUAGAGCGGCGGACUGGUGAGUAACGCGUGGG